This 2141-nucleotide long non-coding RNA is filed under the name Triticum aestivum (bread wheat). RNAcentral's name for it is "long non-coding RNA (TAES_LNC020831)". Lineage: Eukaryota; Viridiplantae; Streptophyta; Magnoliopsida; Poales; Poaceae. The record is from RNAcentral.
AAUAAUGAAGAUGAACCAGGUAAAAUUUCGUAUAUUAUUCUAUUCAAAAUUAUUUUCAUAUAUGGUACACUCCUACAUAUGCAGCAAAUUUUUCAUGUUCUAAUAUUUUCACAGAUUCAGUCAAUGGCUUGUGGGUAACUAUGAGAGAAUACUACUGCUAUAAAUUCCAUACACGACCAAACAUAUUCAACCCAAUAUUGCACGGCGGACGGCUUUUCCAGCAAUUUGCAGUAGAUACAUAUAUCAGGAUUGAAAGCUCCAGACUGGAUUACAUGUGGCAUCAUCAAAAGGAAAUAAGAGCAGAUCUAUACCAAGGCCUUCUGGACAGCAUUCAAGCUGGAGAAAAAAAGGGAAAUGCAGUCAGAAAACGAAGAGUACUUGCAUCAUCAUUUAUUGGAGGGCCACGAGAUAGACUUCGCCGAUAUCUAGAUGCCAUCGCUUUAGUUAGAAAAUAUGGAAAGCCAGACAUAUUUCUCACAAUGACCUGCAACCCCAAUUGGGAAAACAUAACACGUGAACUACAGUUUGGACAAACACCACAAGAUCGCCCAGAUAUUGCAGUUCGUGUUUUUAGGGCGAAGCUAGAAGAAAUGAAGAAGCAACUAUUUAAGAAGAACAUUCUUGGAAAGGUCCAGGCAUAUACAUAUGUCAUAGAGUUCCAAAAGAGGGGACUACCCCAUGCUCACUUUUUACUGAUCAUGACCGGAAAAUAUAAGUACACAUGUCCAGAACAGUAUGACAGAAUCAUCUCCGCUGAGCUCCCUAACAAGCACAAAUACUCAGAGUUGUACAAAAUGGUAAUCAAACAUAUGAUGCAUGAUCCUUGUGGUGCAUUGAAUAAAUUAUGUCCAUGCACAAAGAAUCUUCCGUCAUGCAAGAACAAUUAUCCAAAGCCAUUUAAUGUAACUACAAUUCAAGGCAAGGACUCCUACCCAAUAUAUAGGAGACGCAAUGACGGUUGGACUGAAACGGUCAUGAAUUGCAAACUAGAUAAUAGGUGGGUGGUUCCUUACAACCCCUAUCUGUUAAGGAUGUUCAACUGCCACAUAAAUGUUGAGAUAUGCUCAAGCAUUAAAGCUGUUAAGUACCUAUUCAAGUACAUCUACAAGGGUCAUGACCGAGCAUCUGUAUCUGUAACUGACAACGUAGACGAAGCCAAAAUCGACGAGAUUCAACAAUACAGAGACGCACGUUGGGUGACACCACCAGAAGCACUAUGGAGAAUAUAUGGCUUCAAACUAAGCAAAAUGCACCCACCGGUCUUCCAACUGCAGCUACAUCUCCCAAAUAUGCACAUGGUUCCAUACCAUGGCAAAGAAAAAAAUAAAGAAUGUUAUCAACCGUGAAGGAACAGAAAUAUCAAUGUUGACAGCAUACUUUCAAGCAAACAACUUACAUGAGAAAGCACGAGGUAUACUAUACAGAGACUUUCCAGAAUAUUAUACUUGGCAAACACAAGGGAAGUUCUGGCAAGAGAGGGAACGAGCCGCUUUGUUCCAGGUUGGCAGGAUCGUCUCAGCACAUCCAGCUGAAGGAGAACGAUAUUAUCUUCGAGUUCUCCUAAACCACGUGACAGGCGCCACCAGCUAUGAAGACCUACGAACAGUCGAUGGACAGCUAAUGCCAACCUUCCGUGAAGCUGCAGAAAAACGGGGGCUCAUUGAGGCAGACAACACAUUGGAUGACUGCAUGACAGAAGCGGAGUUGUUUCGAAUGCCAUCGUCGUUACAAAGGCUAUUCGCAACAAUCCUGUUGUUUUGCGAGCCAAGCAACGUCCGUAGCCUCUGGAACAAACACCUAGAGUCAAUGUCAGAAGACUACAGUAGAAACUGCAAAUGCAAGCACAUGGUUGAACAGAUGGUGCUGAGAAAUAACAGGGACAUGUUGCACUCAAUGGGAAAAGACAUAAAAUCAUUUCCUCUUCCGGAGAUUGACAAACAACAUGAGACGACAGACGACAUACCUAGGGAAAUCAUCGAGGAGACCUCGAUUGAGGUGGACCCCGAGGACGCAUCUUUACAUAAAAACCUAAACAACGAGCAGAGGAAGGCCUACGAUGAAAUUCUACACACAAUUGACCGCCAAAGAGGAGGCAUAUUCUUUGUCGAUGGACCAGGAGGCAUAGGAAAACUUUUCUUUAC